Molecule: ribosomal RNA, 361 nt
Filed under: uncultured bacterium
Lineage: Bacteria
Description: bacterial SSU rRNA
Rfam family: Bacterial small subunit ribosomal RNA
Source: RNAcentral
CAGCAUUCUGUAGCAAUACAGGGUGUGGGCGCGUGGCGAACGGGUGCGUAACACGUGGAUAACCUUCCUUCAGGUGGGGAAUAACCCAGUGAAAAUUGGGCUAAUACCGCAUAACAUCGCGAUGGCACAUGCUGUUGCGUUCAAAGGCGCAAGUCGCCAGAAGAGGGAUCCGCGGCCGAUUAGCUUGUUGGCGAGGUAACGGCUCACCAAGGCAUUGAUCGGUAGCCGGACUGAGAGGUUGGCCGGCCACACUGGAACUGUGACACGGUCCAGACUCCUACGGGAGGCAGCAGUGGGGAAUCUUGCACAAUGGACGAAAGUCUGAUGCAGCAACGCCGCGUGGGGGAUGAAGCUUCUCGGA